Limnoraphis robusta CS-951 is the source of this 73-nucleotide transfer RNA. It matches the Rfam family "tRNA". From Rfam's summary of the family: Transfer RNA (tRNA) molecules are approximately 80 nucleotides in length. Their secondary structure includes four short double-helical elements and three loops (D, anti-codon, and T loops). NCBI's taxonomy places the organism in Bacteria, Bacillati, Cyanobacteriota, Cyanophyceae, Oscillatoriales, Sirenicapillariaceae. The record is from Rfam.
GCCGGGAUAGCUCAGUUGGUAGAGCAGAGGACUGAAAAUCCUUGUGUCGGGAGUUCAAAUCUCCCUCCUGGCA